Molecule: ribosomal RNA, 440 nt
Filed under: uncultured bacterium
Lineage: Bacteria
Description: bacterial SSU rRNA
Rfam family: Bacterial small subunit ribosomal RNA
Source: RNAcentral
CCUACGGGUGGCAGCAGUGGGGAAUUUUGUGCAAUGGGCGAAAGCCUGACACAGCGACACCGCGUGAGCGAAGAAGCCCUUUGGGGUGUAAAGCUCUGUCAGCAGGAACGAAAAAAAUGACGGUACCUGCAGAGGAAGCAUCGGCUAACUACGUGCCAGCAGCCGCGGUAAGACGUAGGAUGCAAGCGUUGUCCGGAUUUAUUGGGCGUAAAGAGUUCGUAGGUGGUUCGUUAAGUCCGAUGUUAAAGACUGGGGCCCAACCCCGGGAGUGCAUUGGAUACUGGCGGACUGGAGUGCAGUAGAGGCGAGUGGAAUUCCCAGUGUAGCGGUGAAAUGCGUAGAUAUUGGGAAGAACACCGGUGGCGUAGGCGACUCGCUGGGCUGUAACUGACGCUGAGGAACGAAAGCCAGGGGAGCGAAUGGGAUUAGAUACCCUUGUA